GUCAGUGAUGACAUUUUACUGGUUCCCGAAAUGCAGGUUUUUAAACUGCAUAAAGUGUUGAAAAUCGUGAACUAGGACGGUCUGAGGC
Small nucleolar RNA from Malania oleifera, 88 nucleotides. RefSeq annotates it as small nucleolar RNA snoR20a. The record is from RefSeq and is a predicted model, not a curated record. Lineage: Eukaryota; Viridiplantae; Streptophyta; Magnoliopsida; Santalales; Ximeniaceae. The transcript has a single exon.